Molecule: long non-coding RNA, 1314 nt
Filed under: Oncorhynchus kisutch (coho salmon)
Lineage: Eukaryota; Metazoa; Chordata; Actinopteri; Salmoniformes; Salmonidae
Description: lncRNA (ENSOKIG00005044240.1)
Source: RNAcentral
AUGACACGUCGUGUACACACUCACAGCAUCGUGUACACACACACACACACAGCAUCUUGUACACACACACACACACACAGCAUCUUGUACACACACACACACACACAGCAUCAUGUACACACACACACACACACACAGCAUCAUGUACACACACACACAGCAUCAUGUACACACACACACACAGCAUCGUGUACACACACACGCAGCAUCAUGUACACACACACAGCAUCAUGUACGCACACACACAGCAUCAUGUACACACACACACAGCAUCGUGUACACACACACACAGCAUCAUGUACACACACACACACACAGCAUCGUGUACACACACACACACACACACACACAGCAUCAUGUACACACACACACAGCAUCAUGUACACACACACACACACACAGCAUCGUGUACACACACACGCAGCAUCAUGUACACACACACAGCAUCAUGUACACACACACACAGCAUCAUGUACACACACACACAGCAUCGUGUACACACACACACAGCAUCAUGUACACACACACACACACAGCAUCGUGUACACACACACACAGCAUCAUGUACACACACAGCAUCAUGUACACACACACACACAGCAUCAUGUACACACACACAGCAUCAUGUACACACACACACAGCAUCAUGUACACACACACACAGCAUCAUGUACACACACACACAGCAUCAUGUACACACACACACACACAGCAUCAUGUACACACACACAGCAUCAUGUACACACACACACACACACAGCAUCAUGUACACACACAGCAUCAUGUACACACACACACAGCAUCAUGUACACACACACACAGCAUCAUGUACACACACACACAGCAUCACGUACACACGCACACAGCAUCAUGUACACACACACACAGCAUCGUGUACACACACACACAGCAUCAUGUACACACACACACAGCAUCGUGUACACACACACAGCAUCAUGUACACACACACACAGCAUCAUGUACACACACACACAGCAUCAUGUACACACACACACAGCAUCGUGUACACACACACACAGCAUCGUGUACACACACACACACAGCAUCGUGUACACACACACACAGCAUCAUGUACACACACACAUCAUCAUGUACACACACACACACACACAGCAUCGUGUACACACACACACAGCAUCAUGUACACACACACACACACAGCAUCAUGUACACACACACAGCAUCAUGUACACACACACACACAGCAUCAUGUACACACACACACAGCGUCAUGUAUACACACACAUGACAACGAUGAUACCCCGGCACAGGGGCCAAACAGGCAGGAUAUAA